Molecule: unclassified non-coding RNA, 254 nt
Filed under: uncultured Patescibacteria group bacterium
Lineage: Bacteria
Description: contains 16S-23S intergenic spacer region
Rfam family: Bacterial small subunit ribosomal RNA
Source: RNAcentral
GACGGAGGACCCAAGCGUUACCCGGAAUUACUGGGCGUAAAGAGUUGCGUAGGCGGUUUGAUAAGUGGAAUGCGAAAUCUGGUGGCUCAACCAUCAAAUGGUAUUCCAAACUGUCAGACUAGAGGAUGGGAGAGGUGCAUGGAAUUGCUGGUGUAGGAGUGAAAUCCGUAGAUAUCAGCAGGAACACCAAUGGCGUAGGCAGUGCACUGGACCAUUCCUGACGCUGAGGCACGAAAGCGUGGGGAGCGAACCGG